RNAcentral lists this ribosomal RNA (245 nucleotides) under uncultured Lachnospiraceae bacterium. RNAcentral describes it as "partial 16S ribosomal RNA". It matches the Rfam family "Bacterial small subunit ribosomal RNA", at positions 524 to 768 of the family's 1533-position model. The record is from RNAcentral. Lineage: Bacteria; Bacillati; Bacillota; Clostridia; Lachnospirales; Lachnospiraceae.
UACGUAGGGGGCGAGCGUUAUCCGGAUUUACUGGGUGUAAAGGGAGCGCAGACGGAUGAGGAAGUCAGAUGUGGAAGCCAUGGGCAUAACCCGUGGAGUGCAUUUGAAACUCCUAAUCUAGAGUACUGGAGGGGUGAGCGGAAUUCCUGGUGUAGCGGUGAAAUGCGUAGAUAUCAGGAAGAACACCGGCGGCGAAGGCGGCUCACUGGACAGCAACUGACGUUGAGGCUCGAAGGCGUGGGGAG